This is a regulatory RNA element of Pseudomonas knackmussii B13, 119 nucleotides long. It matches the Rfam family "ALIL pseudoknot". Lineage: Bacteria; Pseudomonadati; Pseudomonadota; Gammaproteobacteria; Pseudomonadales; Pseudomonadaceae. The record is from Rfam.
UGCGUAUUUUGCCCAGGCGGAGCUCGACCGCCGUAUGAAGUCCUGAAGGCGUUUUUCGAUCACUAUCGUGUCCGUCUCGAGGGCGAGUCGAUCUGUCGUGUCCGGCGUGAUGAGCUGCU